RNAcentral lists this ribosomal RNA (508 nucleotides) under uncultured bacterium. RNAcentral describes it as "partial 16S ribosomal RNA". It matches the Rfam family "Bacterial small subunit ribosomal RNA", at positions 28 to 507 of the family's 1533-position model. The record is from RNAcentral.
GACGAACGCUGGCGGCGUGCUUAACACAUGCAAGUCGAACGGGCCUUGUCCCCUUUUUUUUUGGGGGUGGGGUUAGUGGCGAACGGGUGAGUAACACGUGAGUAACCUGCCCCUCACUUCUGGAUAACCGCUUGAAAGGGUGGCUAAUACGGGGUGUUCUGGCCUGCUCGCAUGGGUGGGUUUGGAAAGAUUCGACCGGUUUUGGUUGUUUUGGUGGGGGAUGGGCUCGCGGCCUAUCAGCUUGUUGGUGGGGUGAUGGCCUGCCAAGGCUUUGACGGGUAGCCGGCCUGAGAGGGUGGGCGGUCACACUGGGACUGAGACACGGCCCAGACUCCUACGGGAGGCAGCAGUGGGGAAUAGUGCACAAUGGGCGCAAGCCUGAUGCAGCGACGCCGCGUGAGGGAUGGAGGCCUUCGGGUUGUGAACCUCUUUCGCCAGUGAAGAAGGUCCUGCUCUUUGUGGUGGGGUUGACGGUAGCUGGGUUAAUGAAGUGCCGGCUAACUACGUG